Molecule: ribosomal RNA, 301 nt
Filed under: uncultured bacterium
Lineage: Bacteria
Description: partial 16S ribosomal RNA
Rfam family: Bacterial small subunit ribosomal RNA
Source: RNAcentral
CAGCAGCCACGGUAAUACGAAGGGUGCAAGCGUUAAUCGGAAUUACUGGGCGUAAAGCGUGCGUAGGCGGUGAGUUAAGUCUGCUGUGAAAUCCCCGGGCUCAACCUGGGAAUGGCAGUGGAUACUGGCUCGCUAGAGUGUGUCAGAGGAUGGUGGAAUUCCCGGUGUAGCGGUGAAAUGCGUAGAGAUCGGGAGGAACAUCAGUGGCGAAGGCGGCCAUCUGGGACAACACUGACGCUGAGGCACGAAAGCGUGGGGAGCAAACAGGAUUAGAGACCCCCGUAGUCCCUGUCUCUUAUAC